Caenorhabditis elegans is the source of this 150-nucleotide non-coding RNA. The record is from Ensembl. NCBI's taxonomy places the organism in Eukaryota, Metazoa, Nematoda, Chromadorea, Rhabditida, Rhabditidae.
AACAUGAGUCGUCUUUUUAAUGUGUUAACUCAAAGCUGCAAUUUUCAACUGUUUCAAUAUGUUAAGUUAACUCCUUGGAACUUUCAAAGACUCGAUACGAUACAUCUUCUCUUGACGCUUUUAUUUUCAGGAAGUAAAAGCUAACCAACC